UGGUGCGGUAGAUCGCGGUGUGGAUCGCGGUCUCCGCGGAGGGCCGCCGGUCUCCGGCAACGGGUUCGGAGUUCUCGAUCCGCACCCGGACCAUAUCGGC
Molecule: transfer RNA, 100 nt
Filed under: Nocardia cerradoensis
Lineage: Bacteria; Bacillati; Actinomycetota; Actinomycetes; Mycobacteriales; Nocardiaceae
Description: tRNA-Arg
Source: RNAcentral